Molecule: long non-coding RNA, 736 nt
Filed under: Ictidomys tridecemlineatus (thirteen-lined ground squirrel)
Lineage: Eukaryota; Metazoa; Chordata; Mammalia; Rodentia; Sciuridae
Description: lncRNA (ENSSTOG00000031365.1)
Source: RNAcentral
UGGGAUGAGGGCUGGCUGUUCUGUAUCCCUGUGCCCCGUUCAGCUCUUUCCAGUGUACACAAAGGAGGUAGCUGGGGAAAGAAGACCCCUGAAGUUCCAGGGCACCCCACCAGGGAAGCAGCCGUCAGGAGGUGAGGGCCUCUGUCCUUCCUCCCACACCAAAGCCAACCUUUUCCUCACUGCCGUUUCUCUCCCCUCCAACCCCAGCCUUGGCUGAGAUGCAACUUUCCAGCAAGGGCUAAGGUUGUCCAGUCCCUUGGGAGAUGGAAUCCUCAUCCGACUGUGCUUCUUCAAUAUGGGUGUCCCGAGAAAACAGCUGCUCACCACUGGCACUGCUAGAUGCUACGGGCAGGCUUCAGGGGUUUCUGCAGCCCCCCUUCUUCAAAUGGGACCUGACUGGGUUGCUUCGGAAAGAGGUUGGAAAGCUGACUCCAGAAGAGGACACAAAGAUGGGUCCCAACCUGCCCUCCAGAGCCUGGAGAGCACACAGGCUUCCCAGAGCUCUCUGACAAAGCAAGUGGACAGGCUGGAACGUGUCAUGGACAGUAACCGUGGGCAGAAAUCUGAGUGUGACCAUUCGUGGCUGCCAGGUGAACAAACAGCUCUGGAAUCAGAGGGUUCAGGGACCAACAAGGUUAAACCGGUUUCUCGACUGAGGAUCUCACCAGAGCUUUAAAUUCAUUUACAACGAAUACUACAACACACAUUACAAUGGAUAUUAGAAAGUUUCAAGAAG